CUCCUUGAUGUGUUUUAUGUUGGCAGAUAUCCGGACUACCCCUAGCAGUCCGGACUUAUACUCCGAAUCUCUCUCCCCCCCGUGAGAUUCGGAGUUUUUUUUGCCU
RNAcentral lists this small RNA (106 nucleotides) under Denitrificimonas caeni. Its description in RNAcentral is "Pseudomon-1/ErsA RNA". It matches the Rfam family "Pseudomon-1/ErsA RNA". Rfam says of the family: Functions to regulate the AlgC enzyme. Based on this information, the new name ErsA for the RNA was adopted. Negatively regulates major porin oprD expression responsible for uptake of carbapenem antibiotics, by base pairing with oprD 5'UTR (leading to increased bacterial resistance to meropenem). Lineage: Bacteria; Pseudomonadati; Pseudomonadota; Gammaproteobacteria; Pseudomonadales; Pseudomonadaceae. The record is from RNAcentral.